UACGGAGGGUGCAAGCGUUAUCCGGAUUCACUGGGUUUAAAGGGUGCGUAGGAGGGCAGGUAAGUCAGUGGUGAAAUCUCCGAGCUUAACUCGGAAACUGCCAUUGAUACUAUAGGUCUUGAAUUAUCUGGAGGUAAGCGGAAUAUGUCAUGUAGCGGUGAAAUGCUUAGAUAUGACAUAGAACACCGAUUGCGAAGGCAGCUUACUACGGAUUGAUUGACACUGAGGCACGAAAGCGUGGGGAUCAAACAGG
RNAcentral lists this ribosomal RNA (253 nucleotides) under uncultured bacterium. RNAcentral describes it as "partial 16S ribosomal RNA". It matches the Rfam family "Bacterial small subunit ribosomal RNA", at positions 524 to 776 of the family's 1533-position model. The record is from RNAcentral.